This 253-nucleotide ribosomal RNA is filed under the name uncultured bacterium. RNAcentral describes it as "partial 16S ribosomal RNA". It matches the Rfam family "Bacterial small subunit ribosomal RNA", at positions 524 to 776 of the family's 1533-position model. The record is from RNAcentral.
UACGGAGGAUCCGAGCGUUAUCCGGAUUUAUUGGGUUUAAAGGGUGCGUAGGCGGUUUGAUAAGUUAGAGGUGAAAUGUCGGGGCUCAACCCCGAAACUGCCUCUAAUACUGUUGGACUAGAGAAUAGUUGCGGUAGGCGGAAUGUAUGGUGUAGCGGUGAAAUGCUUAGAGAUCAUACAGAACACCGAUUACGAAGGCAGCUUACCAAACUAUAUCUGACGUUGAGGCACGAAAGCGUGGGUAGCAAACAGG